UGAAGAACGCAGCGAAAUGCGAUACGUAGUGUGAAUUGCAGUAUGUGAACCAUCGAAGUUUUGAACGCACCUUGCGCCAGCGGCUUCGGCCAACGGCAUGUCUGCCUCAGCGUC
Molecule: ribosomal RNA, 114 nt
Filed under: Picochlorum sp. RCC944
Lineage: Eukaryota; Viridiplantae; Chlorophyta; Trebouxiophyceae
Description: partial 5.8S ribosomal RNA
Rfam family: 5.8S ribosomal RNA
About the family: 5.8S ribosomal RNA (5.8S rRNA) is a component of the large subunit of the eukaryotic ribosome.
Source: RNAcentral